UCCUGGUUUCCCAGGCAGUCCCGUCAGAGUGCUUCCGAAGAAUAGCAACUGACAGCAAGGGUUGCGCUCGUUAGAGGACUUAACCUAACACCUCACGGCACGAGCUGACGACAGCCAUGCAGCACCUGUGCAUCUGUCUAGGUCAAAGACCUAAAAAGCUGUGUUUCUACAGCGGUCACAUGCAUGUCAAGCCUAGGUAAGGUUCCUCGCGUAGUGACGAAUUAAACCACAUGUUCCACCGCUUGUGCGGACCCCCGUCAAUUCUUUUGAGUUUUAGUCUUGCGACCGUAGUCCCCAGGCGGAUCACUUAAAGCGUUAGCUGCGACACUGAUUCUGCUAAGCAAAACCAACGUCUAGUGAUCAUCGUUUACAGCGUGGACUAC
RNAcentral lists this unclassified non-coding RNA (383 nucleotides) under uncultured bacterium. RNAcentral describes it as "contains 16S-23S intergenic spacer region". The record is from RNAcentral.